This 253-nucleotide ribosomal RNA is filed under the name uncultured bacterium. RNAcentral describes it as "partial 16S ribosomal RNA". It matches the Rfam family "Bacterial small subunit ribosomal RNA", at positions 524 to 776 of the family's 1533-position model. The record is from RNAcentral.
UACGGGGGGUGCGAGCGUUGUCCGGAAUCACUGGGCGUAAAGGGCGCGUAGGCGGCUUUUUAAGGGUGCGGUGAAAGCCCGGGGCUUAACCCCGGGUCGGCCGUGCCGACUGAAAAGCUGGAGCACUGUAGAGGCAGGUGGAAUUCCGGGUGUAGCGGUGGAAUGCGUAGAGAUCCGGAAGAACACCAGUGGCGAAGGCGGCCUGCUGGGCAGUUGCUGACGCUGAGGCGCGACAGCGUGGGGAGCAAACAGG